Molecule: ribosomal RNA, 700 nt
Filed under: Streptomyces carpinensis
Lineage: Bacteria; Bacillati; Actinomycetota; Actinomycetes; Kitasatosporales; Streptomycetaceae
Description: bacterial SSU rRNA
Source: RNAcentral
GGGCAAUCUGYCCUGCACUCUGGGACAAGCCCUGGAAACGGGGUCUAAUACCGGAUAUGACCGUCUUGGGCAUCCUUGAUGGUGUAAAGCUCCGGCGGUGCAGGAUGAGCCCGCGGCCUAUCAGCUUGUUGGUGAGGUAACGGCUCACCAAGGCGACGACGGGUAGCCGGCCUGAGAGGGCGACCGGCCACACUGGGACUGAGACACGGCCCAGACUCCUACGGGAGGCAGCAGUGGGGAAUAUUGCACAAUGGGCGAAAGCCUGAUGCAGCGACGCCGCGUGAGGGAUGACGGCCUUCGGGUUGUAAACCUCUUUCAGCAGGGAAGAAGCGAAAGUGACGGUACCUGCAGAAGAAGCGCCGGCUAACUACGUGCCAGCAGCCGCGGUAAUACGUAGGGCGCAAGCGUUGUCCGGAAUUAUUGGGCGUAAAGAGCUCGUAGGCGGCUUGUCGCGUCGGUUGUGAAAGCYCGGGGCUUAACCCCGGGUCUGCAGUCGAUACGGGCAGGCUAGAGUUCGGUAGGGGAGAUCGGAAUUCCUGGUGUAGCGGUGAAAUGCGCAGAUAUCAGGAGGAACACYGGUGGCGAAAGCGGAUCUCUGGGCYGAUACUGAYGCUGAGGAGCGAAAGCGUGGGGAGCGAACAGGAUUAGAUAYCCUGGUAGUCYACGCCGUAAACGGUGGGCACUAGGUGUGGGCAACAUU